This 119-nucleotide ribosomal RNA is filed under the name Aotus nancymaae (Ma's night monkey). Lineage: Eukaryota; Metazoa; Chordata; Mammalia; Primates; Aotidae. The record is from RNAcentral.
AUCUAUGGCCAUGCCACCCUGAAUGCACCUGAUCUUGUCUGAUCUCAGAAGCUAAGCAGGGUCAGGCCUGGAUAGUACUUGGAUGGGAGACCACCUGUGAAUACCAGGUGUUAUAGGCA